This 754-nucleotide ribosomal RNA is filed under the name uncultured bacterium. RNAcentral describes it as "bacterial SSU rRNA". It matches the Rfam family "Bacterial small subunit ribosomal RNA", at positions 627 to 1381 of the family's 1533-position model. The record is from RNAcentral.
UGGAAACUNUCUGACUUGAGUGCAGAAGGGGAGAGUGGAAUUCCAUGUGUAGCGGUGAAAUGCGUAGAUAUAUGGAGGAACACCAGUGGCGAAAGCGGCUCUCUGGUCUGUCACUGACGCUGAGGCUCGAAAGCGUGGGUAGCGAACAGGAUUAGAUACCCUGGUAGUCCACGCCGUAAACGAUGAGUGCUAGGUGUUAGGCCCUUUCCGGGGCUUAGUGCCGGAGCUAACGCAAUAAGCACUCCGCCUGGGGAGUACGACCGCAAGGUUGAAACUCAAAGGAAUUGACGGGGGCCCGCACAAGCGGUGGAGCAUGUGGUUUAAUUCGAAGCAACGCGAAGAACCUUACCAGGUCUUGACAUCCCGAUGCUAUUCUUAGAGAUAGGAAGUUACUUCGGUACAUCGGAGACAGGUGGUGCAUGGUUGUCGUCAGCUCGUGUCGUGAGAUGUUGGGUUAANNNCCGCAACGAGCGCAACCCUUAUUGUUAGUUGCCAUCAUUAAGUUGGGCACUCUAGCGAGACUGCCGGUAAUAAACCGGAGGAAGGUGGGGAUGACGUCAAAUCAUCAUGCCCCUUAUGACCUGGGCUACACACGUGCUACAAUGGUCGGUACAACGAGUUGCGAGCCGGUGACGGCAAGCUAAUCUCUGAAAGCCGAUCUCAGUUCGGAUUGGAGGCUGCAACUCGCCUCCAUGAAGUCGGAAUCGCUAGUAAUCGCGGAUCAGCACGCCGCGGUGAAUACGUUCCCGGGCCU